This 403-nucleotide ribosomal RNA is filed under the name bacterium. Its description in RNAcentral is "partial 16S ribosomal RNA". It matches the Rfam family "Bacterial small subunit ribosomal RNA", at positions 355 to 776 of the family's 1533-position model. The record is from RNAcentral.
UGGGGAAUAUUGCACAAUGGGGGAAACCCUGAUGCAGCGACGCCGCGUGAACGAAGAAGGUAUUCGUAUCGUAAAGUUCUGUCCUAUGGGAAGAUAAUGACAGUACCAUAGAAGAAAGCUCCGGUUAAAUACGUGCCAGCAGCCGCGGUAAUACGUAUGGAGCGAGCGUUGUCCGGAAUUAUUGGGCGUAAAGGGUACGCAGGCGGUUUAAUAAGUCGAAUGUUAAAGAUCGGGGCUCAACCCCGCAAAGCAUUGGAAACUGAUAAACUUGAGUAGUGGAGAGGAAAGUGGAAUUCCUAGUGUAGUGGUGAAAUACGUAGAUAUUAGGAGGAAUACCAGUAGCGAAGGCGACUUUCUGGACACAAACUGACGCUGAGGUACGAAAGCGUGGGGAGCAAACAGG